UCAGGCAUUCCACCUCGUAAUGUAAUUUCACCUACCUUGGUUGUUUAUUUUAUCACCUUUACAAAAAUGCAUUUUAAAUUUACUUAAGUAACAAAUUACUAACUCUGUUCUAUCUUCUCGUUGAGUACUACCUCGCUACAUAAGACCUGAGGAGGCCAGCCAGUGGUGACAGAGGAUGAUGCCAUGACGACUGAGACGUUCCAUGCCGAGCUGGGGAUCCAAGAUGCCAUUUACCAACAUUACCAUUAUUAUCAAGUCACAAUGCCCAGGAGGGGUGGGCAGCCACUGGCACUUGGACUCCCAGAGGUUUUUUCUCCUUCAACCUUCAGUUGGGAGUUUUUGUUCCUUUCCCCGAUGGCCAUUGGUGGUGGACCAAAGAAGGUCUCUUCGCAUGGAUCGUUUCCUUGUGAGCUCCACAUGUAGAUCAUGCAGCAAUCUGCAGUACAGUCGAGGCUGGAAGAACAUGUGAACGGCCAGAUGUCACAGCCCAGCCCGCUCCUCCAUCGGAUGGGUGAAGAGAAGCCGCUGUGCUCCAGCAUGCCGGAAUGUUCCUGAACAAGGAGGUAGGGGCCCUACUGGAGACGCCUUCACACCACAGCCGUCUUCCCACCCAGGACACACGUUCGUAUCUGUGUGUGUGUGUGUGUGUGUGUGUGUACAAGGGUGUCGAAAUACCAUUCCUGUUCACUCAUACCCCAUGUGAGGUCCCUGCAGAGUUUCCUCAGGAAUGCUGAAUAUUUGGGCUCCGCCGGCGAGCAGACAGCAGUGGGACAGUGGGGUGCCGAGGGGCCCUAUGAGGAGGCUGCAUGGUAAAACGUGGGGCGUCACAUGGGAACUCAGCAGGUCUCACAUACAGUCCUACAUGUGUAUCGCAUGUACAGUUCUGACGGGACGUUAACGCUGUGGAUAACAAUAUGUAAGCGUGUGAAGGGACUUUCACUGGAAACGUGUGCACUGCUGGACAGCUAUAUAUGAUAAAGACUGAAUACACACAAGAACAUCAUUGUCAUUGGGGGCUUUUCCAGGCAAAAGGACUUUUGUAUGCUGUAAUGUACAUGAGAACAGUCCCAGUGUUUACUUCCUUGCUAUUGACUCUCCUAACCCUGCCAGUGUGGUGCGCCAGGGUAUUUCACCCUACUAGACAACCACUCAGUGCCAGAAAACAAAACUUCUCUAUAUCUCAUACAAAGCUGCGAUGUGACAGAUGACUAACGGGAGUUAAAAUUUCCGUCUGCACCACACCUCACUCCGUUAAAAUGUCACGUGAUGGGCGUUGAGAAAACGGGCCCUGCAUAGGAGUCACACAUCAGGCCCAGUGGUCUACUUUCAUGUUCCGUGCCGGCAAUGCACAGAGAGCAGAAGUGAGAGAAAGUGGGCUGCACGUCUGAUUCAUCUGUUGAACAUUAGGUGAAGUCCCGUGGCAGGUAGUAUCCACCACGCAGGGUAGUUUCUCGGAAUCGUGCCGAUCG
This 1469-nucleotide long non-coding RNA is filed under the name Scleropages formosus (Asian bonytongue). RNAcentral's name for it is "lncRNA (ENSSFOG00015033313.1)". The record is from RNAcentral. Lineage: Eukaryota; Metazoa; Chordata; Actinopteri; Osteoglossiformes; Osteoglossidae.